Molecule: long non-coding RNA, 293 nt
Filed under: Gossypium raimondii (Peruvian cotton)
Lineage: Eukaryota; Viridiplantae; Streptophyta; Magnoliopsida; Malvales; Malvaceae
Description: long non-coding RNA (GRAI_LNC009273)
Source: RNAcentral
AUGAAUAUAUCAAAGUUAAUAAAAUAUAAAAUCAUAUCAUAUUCCAUAUGUAAAGCCCAAAAUCUGCCCGGGCCAACACACUCAAAACAAUCCAAUUACAAAAAAUCAAGCCCAAACCUAACCCUAGUAGCCCAAAGCCCACUAACUUAAAAAAUUUUUCAGCAAAAAAACCCUAGCCUCAAGCUAGCCGCCGCUCCUACCCCCAGGCCUAUGCCACGCCUCCAGCACCGCACGCCUCCAUGCGCCUGCCACCGCUGUCAGUCUGACACCUGCAGAAGAAAGCAUCACACGCA